GGAGGCAUAGCUCAGCUGGUCAGAGCGUUCGCCUCACACGCGAGAGGUCCACGGUUCGAGCCCGUGUGUCUCCACCA
RNAcentral lists this transfer RNA (77 nucleotides) under Oscillospiraceae bacterium. RNAcentral describes it as "tRNA-Val". It matches the Rfam family "tRNA". From Rfam's summary of the family: Transfer RNA (tRNA) molecules are approximately 80 nucleotides in length. Their secondary structure includes four short double-helical elements and three loops (D, anti-codon, and T loops). Further hydrogen bonds mediate the characteristic L-shaped molecular structure. tRNAs have two regions of fundamental functional importance: the anti-codon, which is responsible for specific mRNA codon recognition, and the 3' end, to which the tRNAs corresponding amino acid is attached (by aminoacyl-tRNA synthetases). tRNAs cope with the degeneracy of the genetic code in two manners: having more than one tRNA (with a specific anti-codon) for a particular amino acid; and 'wobble' base-pairing, i.e. permitting non-standard base-pairing at the 3rd anti-codon position. The record is from RNAcentral. Lineage: Bacteria; Bacillati; Bacillota; Clostridia; Eubacteriales; Oscillospiraceae.